GACAGAGGGUGCAAACGUUGUUCGGAUUUACUGGGCGUAAAGCGCGUGUAGGCGGCUUGGCAAGUCGGAUGUGAAAGCCCACGGCUCAACCGUGGAAGCGCAUCCGAAACUGCUUCGUUCGAGUCUCGGAGAGGAAGGUGGAAUGCUUGGUGUAGAGGUGAAAUUCGUAGAUAUCAAGCAGAACACCUGCGGCGAAGGCGGCCUUCUGGACGAUGACUGACGCUGAGACGCGAAAGCGUGGGGAGCAAACAGG
Molecule: ribosomal RNA, 253 nt
Filed under: uncultured bacterium
Lineage: Bacteria
Description: partial 16S ribosomal RNA
Rfam family: Bacterial small subunit ribosomal RNA
Source: RNAcentral